Molecule: long non-coding RNA, 7663 nt
Filed under: Taeniopygia guttata (zebra finch)
Lineage: Eukaryota; Metazoa; Chordata; Aves; Passeriformes; Estrildidae
Description: lncRNA (ENSTGUG00000024348.1)
Source: RNAcentral
UUUCUCUACAUCUAAAAAUUAAUUUCUCUGUCCUUGUACAUUUUAGACAUGACAGUGCCUUUAUACUUGCUUUUUCUUCCUUUAAGAGUGAUAAGCAAUUUACAUGUAGUGGCAACUUACAUGUGACAGAUGAUGUCAUCCAAGAAUAGUUUAUUGCAAAGAAUAAUAUAAGUGGUUACAGUAGGGAAUAGAAUGCAAUAGUAUAAAAAAUGCUAGAAUAUGUAUUUAUUGUUAAUUCUAUUUUAUUUAUCCUUUCAAAGUUUCAAAAAUAACUUCAAAAUUCUUCUAAGCAUCUAAUAAUUUCUGUGCAGUUGGUGGUGUUUCUUUCUUCAUUUUAUUUUUUGUUUUCCUUGCAAUUAUCACAAAAAAAAUUUUGUACACUGAUUUGUCCAUAUUUACAUUAUAUUCAUGGGCUAAAACUAUGCAAAAGAACUGCACAAUUAUAGCUGGCAAAUAUUUUAGAAUGCAUAUGCUAAUGAAAUUCAAAUUAAUAAACAGAGUACUUGUCUAGGACACUUAUCCAGAAUACAACUUAAAAAAAAAAAAAAAUUUCAAUAAAAGAAUUAAUUCAUUAGUGAGCACUAUAAAAUUAAAGUAUGUAAUAUUAGUAAUGAUGUAUAAAUAAUUACUAUCUUUAAAAUUCAGUCAUGUGGUGGAAAAUACACAUGAAUUUAAUAUCACUUUGAUGAGACCAGUAUAAAUUGCAGGUAAAAUACACAGAAAAAAGACAAAAAACAUACUCUUCAUGUUCCCAAGUGAUUCAAAAGGUAAUUUAUUGAUCAACAGUAUUAAUUACUCUGAGAAUCUACUUCUGUGGUAGGUAGUAUGCUUUACAUAUACAAAAUACAUUUACAGUCUUUCUAGUCACUGUUUUAUUCUCUGAUAGAAGAUAACAUUCUGUCUCUACCAUUUAAGGAUCUCAUUCUUUUUUUAUUGAAGUGAUAGGAGUCUUCAGACUGAGGGCAUUGUAUUCUCUAACAGUUCAACCUUUAUGUAAAGACAGGUUUAGUUUGGGAGUCAGUUGAGUUCUGUACAUAACAUACAUAUAAUCUGUACAUAUAGUAGACCUGAUAGUAUACCCACUGUAAACAUUGAAAAGACUGUUACUAAUGUCAAUGGCUUUUGAUCUAGCAAUUUAAGUAUGUUGUAUCAGAACUCAAACUAAAUUCAGAUGUUCCGAAUUCUGAUAUUUCUUAUACCUGAAAAAUUCCUUGCAUACACCCCCAUGCACUGCAUAGGGGCACAGGCUCAUGUUACACUUUUGCCUCUGUUGUAUACCUGCAAUAAAGUUUAUGCAUGGUCUUGAGAAGAUUGGCAGUGAAACUUAGCAUUUGUUACUUUGUCAAUAGAUGGAGGCACAUCCCUCACUGUCAACAGCAAAAGCCCACUUUCACAUAUGUAGCAUGUCUGUCUAACUACACAGAAUAAAUGAUGAGAAUGAAAUCUAUCAGAAAAUACUUCUACCUGAAGUCACAGAAAGUCCUACUUGUAUGGCCACCUAGCAUAUUGAAAAGAAGAUAUUGUACAUAGCAAAGUCACAUGAUGAAACAUAAUUUGAGCUAAACUAUGAAUCAUUUUUUUUAUUCUUGGAAGUGCCAGGUUGGACUUCAAACUCUUAAACUUCAAAAUGGUGCACAAAUGUUUCGUUUCCUGAUGUUAAAGGAAAUAUUUAACAAAACCUUCACAAAUGUCUUUGAAAAACCAGUGUUCAUUAUGUCAACACUUAAAAUAUUUCUUAGUGAUACAUCCAAGCAUCCUUCCAUUAUUUUAAUGACAUUUAUUUGUGUAUUGUGGUAAUGCCUUGGGAAAAAAAAAAAUUAAAAAGGGAAAAAAAAGGAAAAACUCCAGCAAUGAUAAAAAAAUAUUUGACAUCACAAUAGAACCUUGGAAGUUAGAAAGAAAAUGUUAUUUAAGAAUAUGGAAUUUCUCUAGAAAUAGGACAUAGUCAAUCUUUAUCAUUAGAUUUGUUUUGCAGUCCUUUGAAAUUGACAAAGGUGUUCUCUAGUCCUGGCUCUACACUAGGUUGACCAUUGUAAUGGGUGAAAUUAUUGUAGUGGAAGCCAAUUAGGAGUAAAAUAAUUUCUGCUGUGUUAAAUUGCAAUGAAAAUUGGACACGUGCUUCUUUUCUCCUACUACAGAAGUUCUUUUGAGAUUUGUUAAGAUCUUCUCUCUUCCAAGUUUAAGUGCAAGACUUAUAGUUGUGCACAGGAGCAGAAAGACAGGUGUCCUCAGCAGACCACUUUGUUCUCAAACUCGUAACAAUAUGAGAGCCUUGGGCACUUUACGGCUUCUCUCUACUCUUUGUUCUUAUUUUAACCACAAAAAUAAGAGCAUGAAUGUACUUCUAUAUAGAUCUCACUAAGCUUAUCGUGUCCUUACAAUAUAUUUUAACAAGACUGCGAAUCUAUUAAUGCUGAACACAUAAAACCUAUUUUUUUUAUAUUAACAGAAACAAUGUAUGUAUUUUUUGGAUAAAUCCCACUUUUUUUUUUUUUUCUCACCAGUGAAUUUUCAUCACAUCAUCCUAAAAUCUUCAGUGUGACUGGGAUUAAAGACAUAUUUUGUUUUAGUAUUUGUUUCCUAUGAAUAAUGCAGUCACCCAAAAUCAAGUAUUUAAAAUGUCUUCAUUCUUUGCAUAUAUUAAUUUUUAUUUUCAGCAUCAAAUAAUACCUGUAUGUGUCUAAAAAGGUCCCUAAAUUCAUUAUUUUUAUGGAUAACUCCCUAUUUCCAAUACUAAAUAAAGUAUAUUGUAUUUGUUUCUUUAAUUAUAACUCAAAUUCAGACAAGUUUAUAUUAAAAAUACUCUUAUUUCCAUAGGAAGAAGGGAUUCUAGACAAGGACAUCUAAUGGAGGAUCCUUUGUCUUUCUGUAAGCAACUGAAAACCCACAAAUAUGUAUCCUCAUGUCACGAAUCCAGGUAAAGAAAAUUAUUAAAUAGAUUUGCCUUAAAUAUCUUGAGUUGGGUCUCUCAUGAUGGGAUUCACCUUUCAAAUUACACAAAUUUAGGUGUUAUUAUGUAGAUGACUACAGAUUGAAUAGGUACCUGAUAUUUCCCAAUCUACAGAUAUCUAGGUAUGCAACAGCCACCCACUAGUAAAUAUCCAAUAACACUCAAAAUUCUUUGGCAUGCUGGAGACGCCUGCAGAGCUGUUUCAGACCUACCUAGGUGUGAGCUACUGGAUGCUUCUGUCUCUUAAACAAGAAGGAGAGGCUGCUUUUUUCCUUAUCAUAGGGGCAGUCAUGCUUUGAGUAGAACAUAUUUUUCCUUUCUCUUGGACAAACACAUUAUGCAAUUCAGGACAAAAUAUGUCUGUUUUAAUAUCUCUAUGAUGAUUAGGGCUAGAAACUAAAACAAACUCGUAGGAGCUAAGAUAAAAAAGACAAUAAAGUUAAGACAAUACAAGGAACAGAGGAUGCUAAAGGUGAAAUUAGAAAAGAAGUGGAGCAGUGAGACUUACAUAAUUACUUUAAAUUGAUUGAUCAACAUUUUCACAGAAAAUAAUCCUUUUGGUGUAGAUUUCCAAUUAAAAAAUAAAUUACUGGUCAAUUAUUUACAUAUCUGAAAUAUCAAGUUUUUAAAACCUCCAUCAUUUCUGAACCCUAGAAAAUUGCUAUUUUUUUUAAAUGCUUUCCUUAAAAUUUUACUUUUCUUAGGAACAAAGAAUUCAUUCUCUUGAAGGUACUAUUUCAUCUUGUUUUUUCCAUUUUUUCAGAACUUCACAGUUUUACAUGCAUGUACUUACCAAAAUUAAGUUCUGAUAGUCUAUUAGCUCCAUUGUAUAAGUAAAAAUCAAUACACUAAGACGCAAUGAAAACCUUCCUUUAGAGAAUGACUGAAGAGAAGCAGAGAAGUUGUAAAAAAAUUAAAUGCCAUACAAAUAAAACCUAAUAUUUGACAAAUUGUGGUUUUACUCCUCACUGGCCCUAUCUUGCCUUUUACUGCAUAUAUAUUUCUCCACCUUAGUAAAUAGAAUACCUCAGGUUUGCAGAAAAACGCCUGUGAAAUUUCACAGUCCUUUCCUUCUAAAUGUCACAUAUAACCAUCACUCAAAUUGAAUCGAAGAUGAUAUAUUUUUCUAUUUUAGAAAUUAUAUUUAUAGAUAAGUACAUUAAAAGUUGGAAACAACAGCGUAUUAUCACUGUCCUGGAAAAUGCAUCAGCUGCUGAAAGCUAGAAAUUUCAUUUUGAUAGUAUAUCUAAAAUAUGUAUUAAAAAUUUAUGGGAGAAUAUGAAACCAAGUCCUGGCAAAAAUAUCAACUAAGCAUAUAAAGGAUUCAUAAAAUUAUGAAAUCAUUCUGAAAGUGAGUAUGGUACAGGUGAAAAGGGAACCUGAUGUUUUUCAGUAGAGGAAACUAUUAUUUUUAAUAGGGAAAAAAUCCUUAGUUGAUCUACUUCAAUUUUUGGUACUUGGUUGUAUGGAAAAAAAUGUACAAGCUUGCUGGAGAAAUAUUGACUUAUCAGCAGCUACCAAUAUUUAUUCAAAAUAUUUCAAGUUUAUCCUGUGAACAAAAUAGGCAAAUUACAUUUACCAAUGGUGUCGGCAGCAGAAGAGGAAAUGAUGGCAUCUGGAAGAUUUUAAGCUACAGAUGACAUAUUUACAACAAGCAUGUAAAUUCUUCCUAUCAGUUGCAUCAAAUUAAACCUCUUCAUGCUCAAGUAACAGAUAGUAGUUGCAUAGUAUUAGAAAAAGUUUCAAUUUAAGUGAAAAAUAUUCAAUCUUUGAAAAAAGUUUCUCAUAUUCUACUUGUGAUAGUCUUUAACUAAAGAAACAAACAGAUUUUUUUCAAUUACUUACUAAAGAAUUCAAAUGUAGAUAUAAACAAAAACAUGUGAAAAAUAUAUACUGUGCCGUAUUUUUCAGAGAGAAAGAGAUUUGAUUGCUACAAGAACAUAUCUGCAUUGCUUUUCCUAGCUAUUGGCAUGUUUGUAGAAAUACCAUCUGUAGUCAGCUGUAAAUUUUCCGAGCUUUGCCAGCCUGGAAAGAGGAACCAUGGUUGCAACCAUGGAACCUUUGAAAGAGGAAUGUCUAGUAGUUGUCAGAGCCAGCGUCUGCUCAUUUCUUCUCGUAAUCACAACCACACAUGUCUAUUUACCAUUCCUAAAACAAUAAUUUAUUCAAUAUUUUGGCCAAUAUUAUUAUCUGCUUAACUUCAAUUCGGCUAACUACCUAUUAAAAAUGCAGUAUUCCAAUGCAUAUAAAUAGAGGAAACUUAUAAAAAAAUAAGCCAACUCAAGAAAUAAAUAUUAGCCCAAUACCUGCUACUCAUUUCAGUAAGCUUUCAGUUUUAUGAUUGUGAAGAAAUUGCCAGAAGGACAUGGCUACUUUUGACCUACUUUUCAACUUAAGUAGUCAUUAAAUGCCAAGAAAACACACUUGCUUUUCUUGACAGACUUUCCUGCCAAAAAGAAAAUUAUUGCCUGUAUCAAUCAAGAGUUCAUGGCUGUGCGUUUCUUCUUAUUUCCUCAGCUGUAAAAGCACUCAAAUAAAGCACUUGCCUUUAAAAUAAGCCCUCAUAGAUAUAAGUUUUUAGCUGUGCUGAGGGAUUAAAAGCCAUGUUCUCCCUGCAUGACAUUUAUUGCAAGAUCAAGGUAUUAACUUGUAGAUAAGUGUAGGAGAAUGCACAUGAGCAUUCUGAGUCCCUGUGCUAAAAACUCCUGAAAUGCUUUUCCACUGAGAAUGUGAAACAUAUUUUAUUUUUUAUUAAGAUAAUAAAAAGGAUUAGUCACAUUACAGAUUAAUUGCCAGCACAAUUUAUAAUCCGUAUUAUAAAAUGAAGCUCUCUGGUUAGCUGAAUUCAGAAAUUCAGCUGAAAAUGUAAUCUUCCCAUAUGUUUGCAGGUCUGUAAAAUAAAAAUUAAUGCUUUUCUGUGUUAAAAAUUUUGCUUGCCAUUGAGACAUAUGCCAUGGUUUAGCUGGGAGAAAUUAUUUCUGGGACAGACUAUUUGAAUUAAAGUGAAAAAUCUGGCUGACUAUUUGAGACAAUAAAACUAUCAUUAUUUCGUGAAUAUUUUGAAAAAUACAUCAAAUGUUACAUAUCCAUGUUAUCCAGCCUCUAGCAUUAUCACAUUUUUAAAUUAUUUUAAUGUAUUUUACUUUUUCACUUGUGCAACUACAAAAUACUAUAAAAGUGUCCAAUAAAGGUUAAAAAUUAAAAUACAUUAUUUGCUCUAACUUCUUUCCUAUUGUCACCUUGGCAGAACUGGUUUCAAUAUAUACAAGUAUCAAUGUGACUUUUAUUUUUUGACGUAGCAUCAUUCUACCCCUUCAAUGUUCAAGAAUACCAACAUCCCUUUCAAGAACUUCUAUGGCAUUCUAGAACACACCAGCACAUUGCAUUGAGUGAACGGCAAAAAGAGCAUAGACUAGCCCUCUGCAAAUAGUGGUGUCCAACCGGAAAGGAUAGGUAGAUGGAGAGACAGCCACCAUUUCUGUAAAUUUUCGGUCUUCUGGAAUAAGUUCAUGCUGUGGAAGAUUUGCUCCAUCUAAACUGACAGUGAAUUGCUAAGAACCAUUCACUUCCAUCUGUAUGAAUACAUCCUGGUUUCUUGUGCCACAAAUCUUGAUGAUUUUGUAAAAGCUCUUCCAAAACUCUAUUACCUUGUUUUCAUUCUCAGACUCAAACAUAUAAUCAAGAAAGAAUGCACUAGAUUAAGCAUAUUUUUUUCUUUGCAAAAACUAAACAAUCAAUUUCAAUGAUUUUUUAAUUUUUUUUCUUAUGCUGUAAAAAAUAUACUAAUUUUCUGUGCAAGCAUCUAGCUGUCUUGUCUUCUGAUGGCUGGUUUUUGUGAUUUAAUAAGGCAUGUUAAAAGCAGCAUUCUUACCUAAAUUUUUCCUUUUUUUUAUUUCUAGUAUUUUAUAAUAAUCACUAAUUUAUUAUUGUUAUUGAUUAAUUGAUAAACUAAUUAUUAUUAAAAUAUUAGGUCCUGAGUAGGGAUCUCAGAGCAUAGGGUUUUGUAUUGAAAGGAGCUUUAAAGAUCACUGCUUCAAUGAUCAGGGUUGUUUUUCAUGAGGUUCGCAUGGGCCUGUUCCUCAAGGUUUCUGUGGAUGACAUCCCUUCCUUCAGGCCUAUGAACUGCACCAGUCAACUUGGUGUUAUCUGCAAAUUUGCUGAGGGUUCAUUCAAUCCCACUGUCCAUAUUAUUCCUAAAGACAAUAAAUUGUAUUGGCCCCAGUAUGGACCCUUGAAGGACACUGCUGUGUUUUGCUUUCGGACAUUGAGCCAUUGACUGUAACUCUUUGGACAUGGCCAUUCAGCCAAUGCCUUAUCCAUCAAACAGUCCAUCUGUCAAGCCCAUGCCUCUGCAUUUAGUAAUAAGAGGAUGGUACCAAAGGCUUUACAGAAGUCCAGGCAGAAUGACAACAGUAGCACUUUCCCUGUCCACUGAUGUAGUCAUUCCACCAUAGAAGGCUAAUUGCUUGGUCAAGCACAAUUUUUCCUUUCUCUAAUCGUAUCUGUGUUUUCCAUGUGUUUCUAUAUACUUUCCAGGAGGUUGUGCUUCAUGGUUUUAGCAGGCACAGAAAUGAGAUAAACUGAUCAGGUCCUCUUUGGUGCACUUUUUAAAAAUGAGAGCAAUGUGGCUUGGCAACUGCAUCAGUCAGUUCCCUUAUCAUCCACCUGAGGGAUGCACUUUAACAGCUCCCACAAACCUGUGUAUAUUUAUAU